This 2088-nucleotide ribosomal RNA is filed under the name Triticum aestivum (bread wheat). RNAcentral describes it as "partial small subunit ribosomal RNA". Lineage: Eukaryota; Viridiplantae; Streptophyta; Magnoliopsida; Poales; Poaceae. The record is from RNAcentral.
AUGGUGGCUGCCUGGCCCCGGGAGCUCUGGAACAAUUGGUCCAUCCAGAUCCUGGUGCUCCUCAGCCUCGGGCUCCAGGUCGCCCUCUUCCUCUUUGCCGGGAUCCGCCGGCGUGGAGCCCACUCCGUGCUGCGGUUCUUCCUCUGGCUGGCCUAUCAGCUGGCCGACUACACGGCGACGUACGCCCUCGGCCACCUCUCCCUCAAGGGCGCGCCGCGCGACCAGCCGAUCGUGGCGUUCUGGGCGCCAUUCCUCCUGCUGCACCUCGGCGGCCCCGACAACAUCACCGCCUACUCUCUGGAGGACAACAAGCUGUGGAAGCGCCACCUGCUGAGUGCCAUCCUCCAAAUGUCCGGAGCCGUGUAUGUCCUCUACGAGCAUGUCGUGGACAGAGGGGCGUUGCUCCGGCUUGCCUCCGCCUUGAUGUUCGCCAUCGGCGCCGUCAAGUACUGGGAGAGGACGUGGGCGCUCAUGGGCGGCAACCUCGACGACAUCCGAGGCUCCAUCAAGAAGCAACCAGCUGCCAUGCAUGGACAUUUCCACCCUCACGAUAAAGUGUUCAAGGAUGGAGACUUCGAUGAGGAGUCCCUUGUGCGACGAGCUCACUCGCUGUUCCACAUUUGCAAGCGCGCCAUGGUCGACUAUCCAGUGAUGGAAGAUGAUUCACACGGCCAAGACACCACCAAAUUGAUAGGCGAGGUCAGGCUAUGGCGGUUGAUGGAAACCGAGCUCUCCCUCAUGUAUGACAUGUUGUACACCAAGGCACCGGUCAUCUCCACCUGCUUCGGCUACUUGGUACGUCUCAUCUCGCCGAUCGCCAUUGUCGCGUCACUGCUGCUUUUCAAGUUCAUUGACAAGAACGCCCACCGCAGAGUUGACGUCAAUAUCACCUACGUAUUGUAUGGUGGUGCCUUGUUCAUGGAGAUGACAUCGCUGCUGAACGCCCUAGGCUCCUCUUGGGCAUUUGCCUUCCUGAGUACCACGAGCUGGCACUGGCUUCGAUACGCAGCUCUGUGCAAUGAAAGAUGGGACCGCCUCAGGCGUGUGGUUGCAUGUCUUCACCAUCUUGUCAGGGUAGGAGGAGGCAGCCGGUACAGAUCAAGGAGGUGGUCAUAUACCAUGGGACAGUACAACAUGCUGCACUAUUGCACUCGCUCUAACAGUGCGCUCACCAGGCCUCUGCUUGGCAGUUUGGCCAAGAAGGUGGGACUGGGACUAAAUGAGCUUUGGAACAGGAAGCAUUUCUCAUGGGUUAUUGACAUGCCUGACCAUGUCAAGGAUAGUAUCUCUGAACAUAUGAAGAAGAUGUACAAUGCUGGAGGUGUGAACUCACUGGGCAUGCUCAAGAACAGGUGGGGCGAGGAACCACUGGCUCGUGAGGAGUUACUAGAAGAAGGCAGCAUAUUCAAAGAUUCCCUCGGUGUCGAGUUCCAGGAGUGCAUCAUCAUCUGGCACAUCGGCACCGAUGUUUUCCUCGCCAAGAGCGAGCAAGCCAAAGAAGACGAUGUGAAGGCGAUCAAGAUAAUAUCCAACUACAUGAUGUACCUUCUCGUGGACCAACCAGACAUGCUACCAGGCCUCUCCCAAAACAGGUUGUACCAACUAACUUGUGAAAGUUUAGUCAAGACUUGGCGAUCGACCCAUAGGCGUCGGAACAUGAACUCGGGUGCCACGCUCAAGAAUCUGUUCCGCCUGCACGAUGACGCCGAUUCUAAUUCCAGGGCCACCGACAGAGAUGAGCUUGCUGAGAAACUGUAUGAUGAGUAUGAGAGCAAAAGCUUCAUGUACGAUUCUCCUCGUCUCUCCUACGUAGCUCAACUUGCUAAGGAGCUGUUGGCAAUGGAGAAAGGUGGCACGGUUGACCCGGUGAAACUCGUCCGUGAGGUGUGGACGGAUAUUCUUGUCUACGCAGGCAACAAAUGCAGCCGGAAGUUCCACGCCGAGAAGCUCAACAGUGGCGGUGAGUUGACAACAAUCCUGUGGCUUAUGGCAGAACACUUCUACCAAAUUUAUCUGGGGAGCCUGGUCAAAAGAAAGAAAAAGGGAAAUGAUUUAGCAGGAGAAGGCAUCAGCCACCCGGGGAGAUGA